Molecule: non-coding RNA, 901 nt
Organism: Poecilia reticulata (guppy)
Lineage: Eukaryota; Metazoa; Chordata; Actinopteri; Cyprinodontiformes; Poeciliidae
Source: RefSeq, a predicted model, not a curated record
UGCGGCUCGUCCGAAGAGGGGACCAGACGCGGGAUGGGGGUGGACAUCUCUCUGCUCAGCUGUCAGUAUUUCCUGGCACAGAUCCUCGUCUCUGUGGCGAUGGGACCUCUGACCUCACUGGUGGGCGGGGCUCAGGGGGUGAUGUACUUUGCAAGCCUGAUGUCAUUCGUGGGCUGCCUGUACUCCUCCCUCUGCGUGGUGUACCAGCUGCCCCCCCCUGAGGGAAGAGGAGAAGUUGAAACUGGGGUGUGAAACCAAGCAAAACAGAGGAACGGCAAACAGAGAGAAGACUCAUGUGGACUGUCGGACGGACGGCGUUAAAAAAAAACAAAACAAAAAAACAACCGUGGGGAUUCGCAGAGCCAGCAGCGAGUCCUUCCUUGUCAUCGUUAGGGUGCAUGCUUAAAAUAGUAGGCUUCUGCUCCACCGUGCUCAGCCCAUCAUUUCUGUACAGAGAUAAUCCCUCGGUUGUCUGCAGAGGUCUUCAUUGGAAGUUCUUCAUCCCCGUUAGAUCCAGAAUAACUCAUCUYCAUCAGCAAACACAUUUAAGUUGUUGAUGCAUCUGCUGUGCCAUGCCAGCUGUUCAUGAGGCAGAAACUAUGGUAAUGUAGAGCCUUUUGUUUUGACGGCUCCKCUGAGCACCUCAACCUUCAGGCGCCUCUGCAGAAUGUCAGUAAUUGCCUACUAUUGAAGCCUCYUGGACURAGCUGAUCCCCGCCACGCUAAUGUUUCUUAGGAAACAGGAACUGUCUGGAUCUCGCUGUUGCAGCUUGCUUGAGGAAGGAAGAAAUACAACACACUUUGUGUUAUAUGGUACCUCCUUACUGCUCAAUGUUGGCAUCAAUGUAAAAGCUACUUUUAUUCAGGGCUCAGUUCAAACUAAAAUGAUCAUUUUUGCCAC